CACAAUGGGUGCCUACGCCUCGGGGAAACGCCGCUCCUCGCCUGGAGGGCUCGCUGUGCUGUGCGCUGUUCUGUGCUUUCCACCCCCGGGAUGCUGAUUCCCUUUGGCACCUGGAUGAGCCAAUUCCAUCCUGGUGGUGCGAGAUGGGAUGUUUGGAGAGGUGAAGGAGCCUUCAUGAGAUGCGUGUGCAGAUCUUCCCGGUAGCAGCUCAGCACCGAGAACAAAGCAACUGCCUUGUGAACAGAAGGACCCUUCCUGUGAAGGUCUGCAAACUUCUGACUGCUAAGAAAAAUGUGAUCCUUGUAGUGAGACUUGACACGUUUUGAAUGUAUUUUUAGUUUUGUUUCUUCUCAUGAUUAUUGCUUGAUUGUUUAGCUGUAGCUUUCAUGGCAGGGGAAAAAACUGUGCAAAGUGGACUUGCUGCAUGCCCUAUUUUGUCCAGCAGAAGAUAUGGCAAGGCUGACCCUUGUUAUUCUUGUUGCUGUGGCACUGAGAAAGUUUUGUAAAUUUGCUGGCAGACCAAUACAAAAACAACAAAAACAAAUAAAAAACCACCUCUUAAACA
This is a non-coding RNA of Meleagris gallopavo (turkey), 565 nucleotides long. NCBI's taxonomy places the organism in Eukaryota, Metazoa, Chordata, Aves, Galliformes, Phasianidae. The record is from RefSeq and is a predicted model, not a curated record.